CGGCCCGGUAUUUGACCGUGCGAAGGUAGCGCAAUCACUUGUCUUUUAAAUGAAGACCUGUAUGAAUGGUGAAACGAGGGCUUAACUGUCUCCCCUUUCAAGUCAAUGAAAUUGAUCUACCCGUGCAGAAGCGGGUAUAAAAAUACAAGACGAGAAGACCCUUUGGACGCUUAAGAUACAAAAAUCAACUAUAUCAACGACGCUAAACAAGUUAAGCUAAAUAGUACCUGAUUUUAUCUCUUCGGUUGGGGUGACCACGGGAGAAAACCAAGCUCCCACGAGGACUGGGGUAUAGUCCCUAAAAUCAAGAUAAGACAUUUCUAAAUCACAGAACAUCUGACCACAAAGAUCCGGAUAAACCUGAUUAACGAACCAAGUUACCCUAGGGAUAACAGCGCAAUCCCCUUCCAGAGUCCAUAUCGACAAGGGGGUUUACACCGCGAUUUGAUCGG
RNAcentral lists this ribosomal RNA (452 nucleotides) under Eutropiichthys vacha (batchwa vacha). RNAcentral describes it as "partial 16S ribosomal RNA". It matches the Rfam family "Bacterial large subunit ribosomal RNA", at positions 1928 to 2538 of the family's 2925-position model. The record is from RNAcentral. Lineage: Eukaryota; Metazoa; Chordata; Actinopteri; Siluriformes; Schilbidae.